Molecule: long non-coding RNA, 305 nt
Filed under: Vigna radiata
Lineage: Eukaryota; Viridiplantae; Streptophyta; Magnoliopsida; Fabales; Fabaceae
Description: long non-coding RNA (VRAD_LNC001572)
Source: RNAcentral
UAACUAGUGUGCAUGAUGGAUCUAUUUAAUGAUUAUUUGAUGUGAAAGAAAAUUUAGUUGCAAUGCAUGUUGAUAUCCAGGAAAUAGAUGGGUGAUGAAUUUAUGAUUGUGGUCAUGAUGCUAGGCAUGGUGUAUGAAUGAAUUGUAUGUGAGGAAGCAUGUGUGUGAGAUUUUGAGCUCCAGAGUUUUUAUUGUUGCAUGUAUUGUUCGCAGGAAAACAUGGAUGAUAUUGCCUUAAUCUUGAUGAUCGAUUGAAUUGCAUGUGAAUGUCAUAUGAUCAAGGCCAUUUUUGAAAACCCUUUUCU